This 889-nucleotide ribosomal RNA is filed under the name uncultured rumen bacterium. Its description in RNAcentral is "bacterial SSU rRNA". It matches the Rfam family "Bacterial small subunit ribosomal RNA", at positions 505 to 1397 of the family's 1533-position model. The record is from RNAcentral.
GUGCCAGCAGCCGCGGUAAUACGGAGGGUGCAGGCGUUAUCCGGAUUUAUUAGGUUUAAAGGGUGCGCAGGCGGGACAUUAAGUCGGCGGUGAAAUACCGUGGCCCAACUACGGGGCUGCCGUCGAUACUGAUGACCUUGAGUUAUGGUGAGGUAACCGGAAUGUGGAGUGUAGCGGUGAAAUGCAUAGAUAUUCCACAGAACACCAAUUGCGAAGGCAGGUUACCAACUGUACACUGACGCUCAUGCACGAAAGCGCGGGUACGAACAGGAUUAGAUACCCUGGUAGUCCGCGCGGUAAACGAUGAUUACUAAUUGUGUGCCUAAAGAGGCACGUGACCAAGUGAAAGCGAUAAGUAAUCCACCUGGGGAGUACGGCGGCAACGCUGAAACUCAAAGGAAUUGACGGGGGCCCGCACAAGCGGAGGAACAUGUGGUUUAAUUCGAUGAUACGCGAGGAACCUUACCCGGGCUCAAACGUAUGAUGAGCGUAGAGAGAUUUACGGGCCUAGUAAUAGGAGUCAUACGAGGUGCUGCAUGGUUGUCGUCAGCUCGUGCCGUGAGGUGUCAGGUUAAGUCCUAUAACGAGCGCAACCCCUGCUGACAGUUACUAACAGGUAAAGCUGAGGACUCUGUCGGGACUGCCGCCGUAAGGUGCGAGGAAGGCGGGGAUGACGUCAAAUCAGCACGGCCCUUACGUCCGGGGCGACACACGUGUUACAAUGGGCGGUACAGAGAGUAGCUAUCCCGUGAGGGUGAGCCAAUCUUUAAAGCCGUUCUCAGUUCGGAUCGGAGUCUGGAACUCGACUCCGUGAAGCUGGAUUCGCUAGUAAUCGCGCAUCAGCCAUGGCGCGGUGAAUACGUUCCCGGGCCUUGUACACACCGCCCGU